Molecule: ribosomal RNA, 301 nt
Filed under: uncultured bacterium
Lineage: Bacteria
Description: partial 16S ribosomal RNA
Rfam family: Bacterial small subunit ribosomal RNA
Source: RNAcentral
CAGUAGCCGCGGGAAUACGAAGGGUGCAAGCGUUAAUCGGAAUUACUGGGCGUAAAGCGUGCGUAGGUGGUGGUUUAAGUCCGUUGUGAAAGCCCUGGGCUCAACCUGGGAAUUGCAGUGGAUACUGGGUCACUAGAGUGUGGUAGAGGAUAGUGGAAUUUCCGGUGUAGCAGUGAAAUGCGUAGAGAUCGGAAGGAACAUCUGUGGCGAAGGCGACUAUCUGGGCCAACACUGACACUGAGGCACGAAAGCGUGGGGAGCAAACAGGAUUAGAUACCCGUGUAGUCCCUGUCUCUUAUAC